UCGGGCCUGAGGGCUGCUGGCCCCUAGCGAGAGGGCGAGAGGGCGAGGCAAGACCCAGCCAGAAAUGUCACCUGGCUGCCUCCUCACCGUCCUUUCCUCUUCCUGGCCUGGAAUGUCCAUCGUCAACCCCCCUAAUGGAGUAAAGGAACAAGCACAUGGGGCGGCGGGAGUCUAGAAGAGGAGCAAGAGCAGAGAGGACCAGGUGGAAAGACUGUGUGGACUCAUGUGUGGCUGUUAAAAACAGAGGAUUAGAUCUGCCAGGGGCUCCCAGCCAUGAAAUGCUCUGCUCUCUUCUCUUUUCCUUGCUGUCCCCGGGGCUGGAGGAGCACAGGCCUCCCCAGGCACAGGGCCUCAGCUUUGCUGCGCUCCCAUCUUCUUCCAGGGGUUGAGGCCGGGUGGCCAGAAAUGGGAGUGCCUGACUUCUGGAGGAAGAGUUUCCCAGAAGGCCGAGGCAUGAGCCCCCUGGGAACCGAGCAGUCCACUGACUGAGUUCAGACGCCCUCUUGGUCUAGGAGGUGCUGAGAUGCCCACCUCACACGUACAAGCCCUAAGUCUCGAGGCCUGUGCCACACAGACGGCACAAGCCCUGCUUCCAGCCACAGAGGCCUUGAGGAUCCCAAGGCCCCGAGGCCCAGGCCGCGGGACCAUCGGGCUGGCGUGGCCCCCACUGUCCUGUGCCCUGCCUCGGUGCCCUGGGCCAGCCCAAGUGCUGAGUUGGCGGUUCAGCAGCUGCCUCUGCCCACGGAGGCCCAGUUAUAAAUAAGCCCGAUGUGGCCAAGUCA
Long non-coding RNA from Suricata suricatta (meerkat), 782 nucleotides. RefSeq lists it as uncharacterized. The record is from RefSeq and is a predicted model, not a curated record. The transcript has 3 exons. Lineage: Eukaryota; Metazoa; Chordata; Mammalia; Carnivora; Herpestidae.